RNAcentral lists this ribosomal RNA (468 nucleotides) under uncultured bacterium. RNAcentral's name for it is "partial 16S ribosomal RNA". It matches the Rfam family "Bacterial small subunit ribosomal RNA", at positions 28 to 507 of the family's 1533-position model. The record is from RNAcentral.
GACGAACGCUGGCGGCGUGCUUAACACAUGCAAGUCGAACGGAAAGGCCCUGCUUUUGUGGGGUGCUCGAGUGGCGAACGGGUGAGUAACACGUGAGUAACCUGCCCUUGACUUUGGGAUAACUUCAGGAAACUGGGGCUAAUACCGGAUAGGAGCUCCUGCUGCAUGGUGGGGGUUGGAAAGUUUCGGCGGUUGGGGAUGGACUCGCGGCUUAUCAGCUUGUUGGUGGGGUAGUGGCUUACCAAGGCUUUGACGGGUAGCCGGCCUGAGAGGGUGACCGGCCACAUUGGGACUGAGAUACGGACCAGACGCCAACGGGAGGCAGCAGUGGGGAAUAUUGCACAAUGGGCGGAAGCCUGAUGCAGCAACGUCGCGUGCGGGAUGACGGCCUUCGGGUUGUAAACCGCUUUCGCCUGUGACGAAGCGUGAGUGACGGUAAUGGGUAAAGAAGCACCGGCUAACUACGUG